Lacunisphaera limnophila is the source of this 99-nucleotide non-coding RNA. It matches the Rfam family "Bacterial small signal recognition particle RNA". From Rfam's summary of the family: The signal recognition particle (SRP) is a universally conserved ribonucleoprotein involved in the co-translational targeting of proteins to membranes. Archaeal SRP consists of a 7S RNA and homologues of the eukaryotic SRP19 and SRP54 proteins. Lineage: Bacteria; Pseudomonadati; Verrucomicrobiota; Opitutia; Opitutales; Opitutaceae. The record is from Rfam.
GGCCAGGCGCCAUGCAUGGGCAGGCGCGUGAACCCCGCCAGGGCCGGAAGGCAGCAACGGUGACGACGUCCUCCCAGUGCCGUGGAUUGCCUGGCCACU